GACGAACGCUGGCGGCGUGCCUAAUACAUGCAAGUAGAACGCUGAAGGAGGAGCUUGCUCUUCUGGAUGAGUUGCGAACGGGUGAGUAACGCGUAGGUAACCUGCCUGGUAGCGGGGGAUAACUAUUGGAAACGAUAGCUAAUACCGCAUAAGAGUAGAUGUCGCAUGACAUUUGCUUAAAAGGUGCAAUUGCAUCACUACCAGAUGGACCUGCGUUGUAUUAGCUAGUUGGUGAGGUAACGGCUCACCAAGGCAACGAUACAUAGCCGACCUGAGAGGGUGAUCGGCCACACUGGGACUGAGACACGGCCCAGACUCCUACGGGAGGCAGCAGUAGGGAAUCUUCGGCAAUGGACGGAAGUCUGACCGAGCAACGCCGCGUGAGUGAAGAAGGUUUUCGGAUCGUAAAGCUCUGUUGUAAGAGAAGAACGAGUGUGAGAGUGGAAAGUUCACA
This 454-nucleotide ribosomal RNA is filed under the name Streptococcus mitis. RNAcentral describes it as "bacterial SSU rRNA". It matches the Rfam family "Bacterial small subunit ribosomal RNA", at positions 28 to 468 of the family's 1533-position model. Lineage: Bacteria; Bacillati; Bacillota; Bacilli; Lactobacillales; Streptococcaceae. The record is from RNAcentral.